CAAUAGCGUAUAUUAAAGUUGUUGCAGUUAAAAAGCUCGUAGUUGGAUUUCUGGUAGGAGUGACCGUUCCGAACUUGAUUGUUCGUGUAUUGUGUUUUCUCCAGCCAUCCUUGUGGAGAACUUUUCUUGCAUUAAUUUGUAGGGAUUGGGACCCGCAUCGUUUACUGUGAAAAAAUUAGAGUGUUUAAAGCAGGCAAUCGCUUGAAUACAUUAGCAUGGAAUAAUAAGAUAGGACUUUGGUGCUAUUUUGUUGGUUUGCAUACCAAAUUAAUGAUCAACAGGAACAGUUUGAGGAUAUUCGUAUGAACAUGUCAGAGGUGAAAUUCUUGGAUUUUGAUCAGACGAACUACUGCGAAAGCAUUUAUCAAGGAUGUUUUCAUUAA
This 383-nucleotide ribosomal RNA is filed under the name uncultured eukaryote. RNAcentral's name for it is "partial 18S ribosomal RNA". It matches the Rfam family "Eukaryotic small subunit ribosomal RNA", at positions 592 to 976 of the family's 1831-position model. The record is from RNAcentral.